RNAcentral lists this ribosomal RNA (302 nucleotides) under uncultured bacterium. Its description in RNAcentral is "partial 16S ribosomal RNA". It matches the Rfam family "Bacterial small subunit ribosomal RNA", at positions 508 to 809 of the family's 1533-position model. The record is from RNAcentral.
GCAGUCGCCGCGGUAAUACGAAGGGUGCAAGCGUUACUCGGAAUUACUGGGCGUAAAGCGUGCGUAGGUGGUGGUUUAAGUCCGUUGUGAAAGCCCUGGGCUCAACCUGGGAAUUGCAGUGGAUACUGGGUCACUAGAGUGUGGUAGAGGAUAGUGGAAUUUCCGGUGUAGCAGUGAAAUGCGUAGAGAUCGGAAGGAACAUCUGUGGCGAAGGCGACUAUCUGGGCCAACACUGACACUGAGGCACGAAAGCGUGGGGAGCAAACAGGAUUAGAUACCCCUGUAGUCCCUGUCUCUUAUAU